RNAcentral lists this transfer RNA (64 nucleotides) under Otobius megnini. Its description in RNAcentral is "tRNA-Met". The record is from RNAcentral. Lineage: Eukaryota; Metazoa; Arthropoda; Arachnida; Ixodida; Argasidae.
UAUAAAGUAAGCUAAAAAAGCUAUUGGGUUCAUACCCCAAACAUGAUUAUAUUUUCCUUUAUAA